RNAcentral lists this transfer RNA (73 nucleotides) under Escherichia coli E2265. RNAcentral describes it as "tRNA-Lys". It matches the Rfam family "tRNA". From Rfam's summary of the family: Transfer RNA (tRNA) molecules are approximately 80 nucleotides in length. Their secondary structure includes four short double-helical elements and three loops (D, anti-codon, and T loops). Lineage: Bacteria; Pseudomonadati; Pseudomonadota; Gammaproteobacteria; Enterobacterales; Enterobacteriaceae. The record is from RNAcentral.
GGGUCGUUAGCUCAGUUGGUAGAGCAGUUGACUUUUAACCAAUUGGCCGCAGGUUCGAAUCCUGCACGCCCCA